RNAcentral lists this unclassified non-coding RNA (425 nucleotides) under soil metagenome. RNAcentral describes it as "partial contains 5.8S ribosomal RNA, internal transcribed spacer 2, and large subunit ribosomal RNA". The stretch from base 1 to 120 matches the Rfam family "5.8S ribosomal RNA", at positions 35 to 154 of the family's 154-position model. The record is from RNAcentral.
GAUGAAGAACGUAGCGAAAUGCGAUAAGUAGUGUGAAUUGCAGAAUUCCGUGAAUCAUCGAAUCUUUGAACGCACAUUGCGCCUUCUGGUAUUCCGGAAGGCAUGCCUGUUCGAGAGUCAUUAACAACCGUUUCGAUCCCUUUCUUUCAGAAAUUACAAAGAGGAAAAGGGUUUGGUUAUGGUGGAGGAGGGAAAGGGAGCGUUUAGCCUGUAAAAAAAGAGGCUGUGUUCCGCCUCCCCCCCAAAAUUGUACAGGCGGUCGUGUGCGCCCACGCAUCGAGGUGUUGUAAAAGCUGCCACGGCACUUUUCACCUGUGCAGUGCGAGAUUGGCCAGCCGGUUUAAAAACCCCGCCAAACAAUCAAAGGUUGACCUCGGAUCAGGUAGGGAUACCCGCUGAACUUAAGCAUAUCAAUAAGCGGAGGA